This 465-nucleotide ribosomal RNA is filed under the name uncultured Klebsiella sp. RNAcentral's name for it is "bacterial SSU rRNA". It matches the Rfam family "Bacterial small subunit ribosomal RNA", at positions 338 to 795 of the family's 1533-position model. The record is from RNAcentral. Lineage: Bacteria; Pseudomonadati; Pseudomonadota; Gammaproteobacteria; Enterobacterales; Enterobacteriaceae.
CCUACGGGUGGCAGCAGUGGGGAAUAUUGCGCAAUGGGCGCAAGCCUGAUGCAGCCAUGCCGCGUGUGUGAAGAAGGCCUUCGGGUUGUAAAGCACUUUCAGCGGGGAGGAAGGCGUUAAGGUUAAUAACCUUGGCGAUUGACGUUACCCGCAGAAGAAGCACCGGCUAACUCCGUGCCAGCAGCCGCGGUAAUACGGAGGGUGCAAGCGUUAAUCGGAAUUACUGGGCGUAAAGCGCACGCAGGCGGUCUGUCAAGUCGGAUGUGAAAUCCCCGGGCUCAACCUGGGAACUGCAUUCGAAACUGGCAGGCUAGAGUCUUGUAGAGGGGGGUAGAAUUCCAGGUGUAGCGGUGAAAUGCGUAGAGAUCUGGAGGAAUACCGGUGGCGAAGGCGGCCCCCUGGACAAAGACUGACGCUCAGGUGCGAAAGCGUGGGGAGCAAACAGGAUUAGAUACCCUAGUAGUC